UACAGACAUAACAAAAUUUACCUAGGAUGUUUCUUAUUCUGAACAAAGCAAUAACAGAAAUUGGUACCAAGAGUGAGAUAUGAACCACCAUUUUAAGACCUUUAUUUCAUUAUCAGUAUCUUCUUCAUGAACAUAGUCCAGGAGGCUAUGUGGCAGCAGAGUUGGCUAUGCUCCAGAAGAUGAUACUCUAGGCUAGAGAUCAGCAAAGUUUUCCUAUAAAGGACCAAAUUCACCAACAGUCUCUGAAGGCAAGAGGUCAGCAAGAGAAGCCUGUGUCAG
RNAcentral lists this long non-coding RNA (279 nucleotides) under Suricata suricatta (meerkat). RNAcentral's name for it is "lncRNA (ENSSSUG00005013703.1)". The record is from RNAcentral. Lineage: Eukaryota; Metazoa; Chordata; Mammalia; Carnivora; Herpestidae.